CCUACGGGGGGCAGCAGUGAGGAAUAUUGGUCAAUGGACGAGAGUCUGAACCAGCCAAGUAGCGUGAAGGAUGACUGCCCUAUGGGUUGUAAACUUCUUUUAUAAAGGAAUAAAACGAGGCACGUGUGCCUUUUUGCAUGUACUUUAUGAAUAAGGAUCGGCUAACUCCGUGCCAGCAGCCGCGGUAAUACGGAGGGUCCGGGCGUUAGCCGGAUUUAUUGGGUUUAAAGGGAGCGUAGAUGGGUUGUUAGAGCAGUGGUGAAAGUUUGCGGCUCAACCGUAAAAUUGCAAUUGAUACUGGCAGUCUUGAGUACAGUUGAGGUAAGCGGAAUUCGUGGUGUAGCGGUGAAAUGCGUAGAUAUCAGGAGGAACACCGGUGGCGAAGGCGGCCUGCUGGACUGCAACUGACGUUGAGGCCCGAAAGCGUGGGGAGCAAACAGGAUUAGAUACCCCAGUAGUC
Molecule: ribosomal RNA, 460 nt
Filed under: uncultured bacterium
Lineage: Bacteria
Description: partial 16S ribosomal RNA
Rfam family: Bacterial small subunit ribosomal RNA
Source: RNAcentral